Candidatus Curtissbacteria bacterium is the source of this 74-nucleotide non-coding RNA. The record is from Rfam. Lineage: Bacteria; Candidatus Curtissiibacteriota.
CGGGGAGUAGCUCAGUUGGCUAGAGCGCUGCUUUUGGGAAGCAGAGGUCGAAGGUUCAAGUCCUUUCUCCCCGA